GUGCUUGCUUCAGCAGCACAUAUACUAAAAUGGGAACAAAACUGAGAAAAUUACCAUGGCUACUGAGAAAGGACAUGCAAAGUCAUGAAAUUCCAUAUUUUA
Small nuclear RNA from Erinaceus europaeus (western European hedgehog), 102 nucleotides. The record is from Ensembl. Lineage: Eukaryota; Metazoa; Chordata; Mammalia; Eulipotyphla; Erinaceidae.